GCCACGAUUGAGCAUAGCAUGGACUUUUGAUCGUUCGACAUUUUGACUUUUUUUAUUUUUUUAUUUCUCUUCCUAUUUUACUUCAGUAGCGAAGCAGUUGUCUCGCGGCAGGGCAACGUUCUUAGGUUCAAACUUGAAACCUUCCCUUUCGUCACAGAAACGUCUUUUAAUUUUCCAACCUUUUCCGACUUAUCCUCAGUCCUAGUACUGAUAUGCGCUGUUCACACCACCGAUUCUUUCCCUUUUUUUUUUUUAUCUAAAUAAAUAUUGACCCGUUCUGGUUCGGUGGUGGUCGGCAAUUCCGGAUUUGUGUCCAUUUCGGCGCUCUGGGUGCAACAUAGCCGAGUCAGCAGUUUACAGGUUGCGGCAGUCAGACGGCGCAAAACGCUGGAAUAGACCUUCUUUGUCGUUACGGGAUCCUUCUGACGGACAACUUGUUCUCUUUCGUCGCUGUUUCUGUCUGGGGGGCGCAAAAUUAGGGGUUAUCACAGAAUAUAGAAUAUACGGGUUUCGGUGCCUUGACGAGAUCGGAGAAGGCAAAGAUGAUAGAUCAUGUCCUGGGGAGGCCGUCGACCCAGUUUCGCAAGAUACAGGUCUUCGCCGUUGUGUCAUUUUGGUCCUUAUAUCUCCUACGGGGCAACAAUCAUGGUCCACCGGGCAUUCGCCUCCUAUCUUCCCGCUUGUACAAGCGAGUCACUCCCUGGCAGGCCACCGUCGUGACCUUUCUGUGGCUGUAUGUGUCACGGAAUUUUGCCAAGUUAACGGGCCUCGAGUCUCCAGAGCCGCUCGCGAAUCUAUAUUCCAGAUCCUACUUCCGCGCCACUUGGGUAACCACGGCGCUGGAUGCCGGGUUCUGGACGGCCAUGAAUAUCAAGAGAAAGUGGCUGCGGGAUAUAGCGUCCAUCGUCUUCUCAAUUUACUAUCUCAUUGCCGCGGAGCAUGCGGAUGAGAAGGUUCGGAAAGUUAGGGCUGUGUUGACGGUGGAGCACCUGCGAGUGUCGUGGAAUAAGGCUACGACACCGUACCUGUCGUUCCUCGGAAAGCUUAUGCGCCCGCGCCUAAUGGGCUAUGCGCCGGUUCAGAUUCGGAUUCCGAGGCCGAAAGAAUCGUCGUACAGGGAUCCGUGCAUUGCAUGGCUCUAUUAUAACGGCCCGCUUAGUACGCUGAAGAACCAUACUAAUAUCGUUCUGGAUAUCCCCGGUGGCGGGUUUGUGGCCAUGGGCCCGCGGAUGAGUGAUGACAAGCUCCUAGCCUGGGCCGCUAGGACGGGCGUGCCGGUCCUGAGCUUGGAUUACAAGAAGGCGCCUGAAUAUCCAUAUCCGUACGCCCUGAAUGAGUGCUACGACGUUUACCACACCAUCGUCAGUAGUCGUGGCCGUUGUAUCGGGCUAAGUGGUAAAGUCAGUCCUAAAAUUGUCAUUACGGGUGACAGCGCUGGCGGCAACUUGGCUGCUGGCGUCACACUGAUGGUUCUCCAGUCAGGGAGCACGGAUUCACGGAAAAGACGCGGAGAGAACUCGCUACCCCCUCCUGUUGGCCUAGUGCUCAUUUACCCGUCAUUAGAUAUGAACAUAGGUAGCUGGAUGACGGAUGAGGAGAUGUCCUUAAUUCGGGAGCGGGGAAUGCGAGAGACGAAUUGCAAUGUCCUCCGAAAGAAAAGUGAGGAUUAUCGCAAGUUAGCCUCCGCUUCCUCCCAAGUAUCAACCCUCCGCGACGAUUCCCUAGAACACCCGGUCAUCCACGACUAUUUCGCCCAGCAGCACGCCGGGGUAAUUCAUGAAGACCAUGAACCAGUGAUUGACACCGAAAGCAUCGACAAACCCGUUCCAGGAAACACUGCCUCCCAAGUCGUGGCCACAGCCGACAAGCACCCCGGACAGAUCGAAACACGUCUCGCUGUCUCUUCCAUGAUUUCCUACUUCAACGAUCGCAUCCUAUCUCCCGAGAUGAUGCGUGCUACUAUAAUCCUCUACAUCGGCCCAUACAACCGUCCAGACUUCAGCUCAGACUUCCUCCUCUCCCCGCUCCUUGCGCCGGAAGCGCUUCUGGCACGCUUUCCCAAAACCUACUUCUUAACCGGGGAACGAGACCCGCUGGUCGACGACACGGUGAUUUUCGCAGGGCGAAUCCGCCAGGCGAAACUGCGUCGAUUCCGCGAACGACAGGAGCUGGGACUUGAGAGAUCCAUGGGAACAUUCGACGAAAAAGCGCACGUGGAAGUGUCUCUGAUUCCAGGCAUUUCGCAUGGAUUUCUGCAGUUCCCUGCCUUGUUUCCCGAAGGGUGGAGGCAGAUUUUCCGCUGCUCGCGAUGGAUUAAGAAACUGUUUGCACAUGUCGCCGAAGAUGGCACUGUGAUCGAAGGAGAUCUUACGGCGUCAUCCAUCAUGUCUCGUCGGCGACAAGGGAAUGGCAGCUCAGAGACAUUCAGAAGAGUCAACUCCGUAUCGUCAACGACAUUGGUAGUGUCGGGAAAACCAGGAACUAUCCGAAAAGGCACAGGGGAUGGUACUGGAUCACAGGAUCACAAUCGAGGGUUGACGGGGGACUCAUCGGGCGACGAAGAUAGGCCGUUGGAAAUGACCAGGCUGAACAUGAGCAAGCGGCCACCAGUUUCCACAGGAACUUCUCGGUCCUCCUUGCGCUCCUCACCGUCCUCCGCUCGAUCAACAGCGGAUGGUUCCCUAUUACAACCAAAAGCCUACACACCAACGUACCUAGAAACCUCAGCGGGUUCUCUUGAACCAUCCUCUUACCUCUCCCUAGACCCCGUCGCUCUCCCGGAAGGAGGAACUGGUUCUGAUAAGACAACCCCCAGCCGCUACCCUAAACCUCCAAACGGCGCUGAGAGGCACAAGCAAUCCCCGCAACAAAACGGGGACAUAGCACAGCCAAGCCCCACCUUUAAGUUUCCCCAGCUCAGCACCAGUAAUGGAAACCGUGCACGCAGCAGUAGCUAUAAUUACAACUCAACCCAUCGCGAAAAGAACGACUUCGCUGAAAAUGAAGACGUUGUCCAUUCGUGGCGCAAGCAUAUGACGAAAAUGUCUCGGCGUCGUGACGAGAGCCUGACAAGCUUGCCCAGCGAAGAGGAUUUGUUGGGCAGGCGGAUGAACGGGUUGGCGGGCGGGUUGUUGGGUAUGGGAGAGGGGGUGAGGACGCCAUAGGAGGUUUUCUGAGUGAGUAUGGAGUAGUUAACUAACUAACGGGUUAGUUAACUAGUCGUGAUGCGAAUGUUGUCUAACGCGCUAGGCGGUUGAUUCCCUUGUUGUCAUUGGUGGGACGGUUUUCUUCGUUGGCUUGUCGAGUAACUAACCAACUACUUGACUUGUUUGUAUGAGAACAUCAGUUGGCAUGUACGGUAGUUAGGUUUGCCUGUGUAUUAGCUGUAUUUGCCUGUGUAUUGCUAUAUGAACUCGGGGAAUAGAAUAGAAUACAUAUGCGAGCCAUUAUUAAGAAUGAGAAAUUAAAAUCAUGUUC
RNAcentral lists this small RNA (3477 nucleotides) under Histoplasma capsulatum. RNAcentral describes it as "hypothetical RNA". Lineage: Eukaryota; Fungi; Ascomycota; Eurotiomycetes; Onygenales; Ajellomycetaceae. The record is from RNAcentral.